UACGUAGGUGGCAAGCGUUGUCCGGAAUUAUUGGGCGUAAAGCGCGCGCAGGCGGUCCUUUAAGUCUGAUGUGAAAGCCCACGGCUCAACCGUGGAGGGUCGUUGGAAACUGGGGGACUUGAGUGCAGAAGAGGAGAGUGGAAUUCCACGUGUAGCGGUGAAAUGCGUAGAGAUGUGGAGGAACACCAGUGGCGAAGGCGACUCUCUGGUCUGUAACUGACGCUGAGGCGCGAAAGCGUGGGGAGCAAACAGG
RNAcentral lists this ribosomal RNA (253 nucleotides) under uncultured bacterium. RNAcentral's name for it is "partial 16S ribosomal RNA". It matches the Rfam family "Bacterial small subunit ribosomal RNA", at positions 524 to 776 of the family's 1533-position model. The record is from RNAcentral.